Unclassified non-coding RNA from Pongo abelii (Sumatran orangutan), 148 nucleotides. It matches the Rfam family "Metazoan signal recognition particle RNA". Rfam says of the family: The signal recognition particle (SRP) is a universally conserved ribonucleoprotein. It is involved in the co-translational targeting of proteins to membranes. The eukaryotic SRP consists of a 300-nucleotide 7S RNA and six proteins: SRPs 72, 68, 54, 19, 14, and 9. The record is from Ensembl. Lineage: Eukaryota; Metazoa; Chordata; Mammalia; Primates; Hominidae.
GUUGGGUGUGGUGAUGCACAUCUGUAGUCCUAGCUACUUGGGAAGCUGAGGCAGGAGGAUUGCUUGAGUUCAGGAGAUGGGGGCUGCAGUGAGCCAUGGUUGUACCACUGCACUCUAGCCUGGACAACAGGGCAAGACCCUGUCCCCU